This 200-nucleotide ribosomal RNA is filed under the name uncultured bacterium. Its description in RNAcentral is "partial 16S ribosomal RNA". It matches the Rfam family "Bacterial small subunit ribosomal RNA", at positions 328 to 539 of the family's 1533-position model. The record is from RNAcentral.
ACGCUCGACACCUACGGGAGCAGCAGUCGGGAAUAUUGCGCAAUGGAGGAAACUCUGACGCAGUGACGCCGCGUGCAGGAAGAAGGUUUUCGGAUUGUAAACUGCUUUAGACAGGGAAGAAAGAAAUGACAGUACCUGUAGAAUAAGCUCCGGCUAACUACGUGCCAACAGCCGCGGUAAUCUGAGCGGGCUGGCAAGGC